AGUCGAUCCAAGCUCCGACGUUUGGAAACAUCUAAUAUUAAAUGUUAAAUCAUAAAAUAUACAUAAUAGUAUAGGUACUUACCCAUAUAUACGUAGUCUCAAUCAUAUUGACAUUAUGAUCCAUGCAUGGUGCAGAUCACGCCCGAAAAUAGUUAACUAAUUUUUUUUUUUUAUGUUUUAGUAGUAUGAAUUUGAAUUACCAUUCAAAAUCGUAAGUAUAUUUUAUGAUUUAUUUUUUACGGUUUAUUUAGUAGGUAUAAAUUAAAUAACUAAUUUUAAUAGUAUAAUUAAUGAACAAAAUUUUAAUGAAAAUGAUAAUAAAAUAUAAAUUAUUAUAUUUAGAUUAUUUUUUAGAUUCUGAGUGUAGCGCAAAAGAGCAAUUAAUUGACAUACUAUGUUUUUCCUUGAAAAACACAUUUUUGUUAAUAAAUAUGCUCCGAAUUUUUAUGUCAAACCUUAAAAGAUAUGAAUUUUUCGCCUGAUAGUACUUUAUUUAAAAUAUUUAUCGAUAUUUUCAAUAGUCUAAACCUCUACUUUCAUAUUUUUGUUUUUACAUUUUAGUUGAUUUCUGGAUUCCCUAUUGGCAACAGGGGAAAAAAACCAUCAAAACUACUCUGCUCAUAGUUGUUUUUCGUAUAAAGCGAUAUAUUUUUUUAUACAGUAUAUAAUCUAAAUUACUUGUCCUGUAUAUCUUACCUACCAAAAUUCCAAAAUGUUCCUGAUUACACUGACAUCAGUGAGGAAUCUAUUUUCACAAUACUUUUCCACCGUAAAAUAAAACUUAGUUAAUAUAUUAUGCUAUCGACCUAUCGUAGUUAUCCAUAUUUUAAUGUUCAUAUAUUUUUCAUUUAUAAGUAGAUAAUUAAUAAAUUAAUAAAUUAGGUAAUUAAUAAAAAUAAUUAAGUAUAUUGUAUACUUAGUAACCUAAUUAUUUUCAUUCAAUUAUAAGUACUAAUAUCUAGGGAACGAAUUUAUAUGCACUUAAAAUGCACAAAAAACAAAUGAAAAUGUUAAAAAAGCAUUGAAAAAAAUAUUUAAAGAAGCAAAAAUGGUAGAAGGGUUUAAGAGACUUCCGCGAAUAGCUCUAAGAAUUAGAGUCUAAAUUAUUAAAUAUAAUUUUCUAUCACUAGAAAAAUGAUUAACACUGAGUAAUUUUUUUUUUUUACGUAUUAUAAAAAGAAUGAUUUUAUAUUAAUCAUUUAUACAGGGUCAGAAUAUUUUAUUUUGUAAUAAAUUCGACAGGGAACUUUUAAAAUCCCUCUACCAUUUUUUCUUUUUUUUAAAUGCUUUUUUGACAUAUAAAUCCUUCACUUACUAAUAUCGAAUUAAUGCUACAGUGUUUCUAAUCUCUAAUAUUUAUAUUAUUAUAUUACAUUAAGUAUAGUGUAUUGAAUAUAGGUACUUAUUAUCAAUUGAUUUGCAUCUGGUAUUUUGAAAAACUUGUUUAGUUAUUCCUACACACAGUUGUUAUAUAACUUUUAUAUUAUGUACCUAUAUAAUAUUAUCACACUGCAAUGAUUUAUAAUAUUUUAUGUACAUCAAUUUAAAUAGAAACAGCUCAUCAUAUUAUUUUAAUAUUUUAUACAAUUCAUCAUCAUCAAUUGACAAUUAGACGCACAGUUCUUAAAUUCUUAGACGUAUUCAAAAUAUUGUUUUCUUGGGUGUCAAUAUAAAAUUAUUUUUUUUUUUUAUUAUUAAUUAUACAAACAAAUUCUAAAAAUAAUAAAAUAAAAACUUCGUACACUAAACUGACUAGGCCACUUUAUAGUGGUCAACAAUAAAGACUGCGGUAGGUAUUUUGAAAUUUAUUGAAAUGAUAAAUCACUGUUUGAAAAAAUUAUUAGAAUCAUCCUAAAAUGAAAAUUUAAACUUUCGCAUGCAUUUUUGCCCACCAUAUUUUAUUGGGAAAAUAACCUCUUUUAACUUUUAAUUUUUUUUAAAUAUAUUAUAAUAAGGUUAUAUUUUUGUAUAUUUAGAUAGGUAACUAAUUAAAAUAUAUGUUAUAUAUACCUAUUCGUUUGUAUUGUACAUACUUAAAUGUUGUAAAAUUAAUGUACGGUAGGUAUAGAUACUUGUCUUAUAAGUAUCUCUACCUACCACUUUAAUCAUAAAAUAAACGUAAGAAUAAAAAUAAUUAACCUACUAAAAAUAUUAUUGUUCGUGUCCAGCGUCUAGGUUAUAAUGAUUAUUAUUUCAACAAUGCAUAUCCUGUUCCUAAGUACUAGUGCCGCGGGAGUGAUAUCCCUAUUUGUAUCUCCUGCAGCUCAAGUGCUUAUCAACGGGAAAAAGCACAUCAACCCUACACAUAUAUAAUAUAGUAUUUGUAUUUCAAUGUAUAAGAGAUAAUGUAUAAUGUAUAAUAAAUAUAAUGUUCAUUUUAAUAUGUAUAAUAAUAUAUUAUAUGCACCUAUCUAUAUUUAUAUUUUACACAUUUUACAAUGUAUUUUAUUUAUAAAUCUGUUAUUGUUCUAUUAAUCACAUAGCACCUAUUAUAAAUAAAUAAAGUAUUAAAUAUUUAUUAUACUUAAUAUUGACAUUAUAAUUAGACAUUUUAAAAAUGGUAGGACCGAAACCACCUUUUUCGCUGAAAUAAUUUCGUCAAUGAACCGAUUCACCACAACCAAUUCGCCACCAACUGUUUCGCCGCCAACCUUUUUGCUAAGAGACUGAUUCAUCACCAAUAGAUUUGCUUAUGGACCAAAUUGCCGCCGACUCUUUUACCGAUGGACACUUAUUGAUACAUAUUGACGCAUGCAUAUAAAAUAUUUUACAUUAUGAGCCGAGUGGUUUUGCACGUGCGAAACAAAUGUCUUUUUCAUAAACAUUUUAGUUCAUACCACCAUGAUGCUCAAUAGAUAUCCUGGUACUCUUGUGCUAAAUUAAUGAAACAGGUCUACAUGUAGGUAUAAAUGUAUUUAAAAUUAUAAUCUUCUAUGUACAUAUCUACUUAGUAUUAUGAUUUGUUUUGUCUGUCCUAUACGUAUAAUAUAGCAACAAAGACU
Cinara cedri is the source of this 3002-nucleotide non-coding RNA. NCBI's taxonomy places the organism in Eukaryota, Metazoa, Arthropoda, Insecta, Hemiptera, Aphididae. The record is from the annotation of a GenBank genome assembly.